This 123-nucleotide non-coding RNA is filed under the name Mycolicibacterium rutilum. RNAcentral's name for it is "Mycobacterium rutilum SAM-IV sequence". It matches the Rfam family "SAM (S-adenosyl methionine) riboswitch aptamer". Rfam says of the family: SAM-IV is a mRNA element that regulates gene expression via direct sensing of S-adenosylmethionine (SAM or AdoMet). Lineage: Bacteria; Bacillati; Actinomycetota; Actinomycetes; Mycobacteriales; Mycobacteriaceae. The record is from RNAcentral.
GGUCAUGAGCGCCAGCGACAAGCCCCGGCUUGCUGGCCGGCAACCCUCCAACCGCGGUGGGGUGCCCCGGGUGAUGACCAGGUUGAGCGGCCGCUAGCGAGCGGUCGCCGGCAAGCGCGGGUC